Molecule: ribosomal RNA, 459 nt
Filed under: uncultured bacterium
Lineage: Bacteria
Description: partial 16S ribosomal RNA
Rfam family: Bacterial small subunit ribosomal RNA
Source: RNAcentral
CCUACGGGUGUCAGCAGUGAGGAAUAUUGGUCAAUGGCCGGAAGGCUGAACCAGCCAAGCCGCGUGAAGGACGAAGGUGCCAAGCAUUGUAAACUUCUUUUGUCAAGGGACAAAAUCAGGCUCGAGAGCCUGACCGAGGGUACUUGAAGAAAAAGCAUCGGCUAACUCCGUGCCAGCAGCCGCGGUAAUACAGAGGAUGCGAGCGUUAUCCGGAUUUAUUGGGUUUCAAGGGUGCGUAGGCGGACUUUUAAGUCAGCGGUAAACGCCCGGGGCUCAACCCCGGAGAGCCGUUGAAACUGGCUGUCUUGAGAUGUCGAGAGGUAUGCGGAAUGCGCAGUGUAGCGGUGAAAUGCUUAGAGAUCAUACAGAACACCGAUUGCGAAGGCAGCUUACCAAUCUAUAUCUGACGUUGAGGCACGAAAGCGUGGGGAGCAAACAGGAUUAGAUACCCUUGUAGUC